This 506-nucleotide ribosomal RNA is filed under the name uncultured bacterium. RNAcentral describes it as "partial 16S ribosomal RNA". It matches the Rfam family "Bacterial small subunit ribosomal RNA", at positions 28 to 523 of the family's 1533-position model. The record is from RNAcentral.
GAUGAACGCUAGCUACAGGCUUAACACAUGCAAGUCGAGGGGUAACGAGAGGAAAGCUUGCUUUCCUUGUCGACGACCGGCGCACGGGUGAGUAACGCGUAUCCAACCUGCCCCCAACUAGGGAAUAACCUUGCGAAAGUAAGACUAAUACCCUAUAAUUUCCUCAGAUGUCAUCUGACGAGGAAUAAAGAUUUAUCGGUUGUGGAUGGGGAUGCGUCUGAUUAGCUUGUUGGCGGGGUAACGGCCCACCAAGGCAACGAUCAGUAGGGGUUCUGAGAGGAAGGUCCCCCACAUUGGAACUGAGACACGGUCCAAACUCCUACGGGAGGCAGCAGUGAGGAAUAUUGGUCAAUGGGCGGAAGCCUGAACCAGCCAAGUAGCGUGCAGGAUGACGGCCCUAUGGGUUGUAAACUGCUUUUAUACAGGAAUAAGGUUAGCCACGUGUGGUUAUUUGUAGGUACUGUACGAAUAAGGACCGGCUAAUUCCGUGCCAGCCGCCGCAGUAA